This is a long non-coding RNA of Nematostella vectensis (starlet sea anemone), 440 nucleotides long. RefSeq lists it as uncharacterized. The transcript is spliced from 2 exons. The record is from RefSeq and is a predicted model, not a curated record. Lineage: Eukaryota; Metazoa; Cnidaria; Anthozoa; Actiniaria; Edwardsiidae.
UAUCGCAUACGCAUAUACAUAUCCCAUAUUAAUUUUUAAAAUAAUUUUGGCAUCAUUAAUAUGUUUUUUUAGAAUGAAGAACAUAAAAUGAGAAACAAUCUAAAAUAAAAACUGCAAGCCGACUAGUUGAACUAUUCUUUAUAUCGGGUUUCCUUUGGAAAUUCACGCAUGCUCAUCUGGUAGACCGCUGAUCAGCUGAUCAGUUGUUGUUGUCAUUUAAAACCAGACUCGUGUUCAAGUACUUGACAUUUGCAUUGAAAUUAAUCUCAUAAAUCGGCCUUUUUCCCAGAAACCUCUUGACAGAAGUGACUUCCAAGGAUGAACCAAAACAAUUAUACAGCAUCUGAGAUUAGUAUACAGCAAGGGUAGAGAUUAUUUUUUGUGAUUUGUCUCCUGUACAAACAGGUAUGUGUAUCUAAUAAAGACGGCUGUCAAGAAAA